RNAcentral lists this long non-coding RNA (338 nucleotides) under Nicotiana benthamiana. RNAcentral's name for it is "long non-coding RNA (NBEN_LNC011570)". The record is from RNAcentral. Lineage: Eukaryota; Viridiplantae; Streptophyta; Magnoliopsida; Solanales; Solanaceae.
CAUCAUUUCCCGCCUCAUCAUCCGGCACUGCUUCGAAGGGAACAAGACCCGCAUAUGGAUAAUGAACAUGGUCAAAAUAUCCAUGGAUCUCAUGAGUCAGUUGACCAACAGAGGUGGUCAAGGAAGCAAUUUGGUCGGAAAUGGAUUGGAGAGUGGGCUCUUGAGGCGGACGAGUUCGACGGGUUGGAGGAGGAACAGGCGUUGCAUGAUCACCGUCAUGAUGAAAGGAGGAUUCUGAUAUUUCUCACUUCUUGGUACUCUUUUUGAGAGGACCGUUGGAAGUGAUGAAUCCGGAGGCUUCAUGAAAAUUCAUGAUGAGGAGAGCAUAAGGAAGAGGC